CCUACGGGUGGCAGCAGUGAGGAAUAUUGGUCAAUGGACGCGAGUCUGAACCAGCCAAGUAGCGUGAAGGAUGACGGCCCUAUGGGUUGUAAACUUCUUUUAUAUGGGAAUAAAAUGUUCCACGUGUGGGUUUUUGUAUGUACCACAUGAAUAAGGAUCGGCUAAUUCCGUGCCAGCAGCCGCGGUAAUACGGAGGGUCCGAGCGUUAUCCGGAUUUAUUGGGUUUAAAGGGAGCGUAGGUGGAUUGUUAAGUCAGUUGUGAAAGUCUGCGGCUCAACCGUAGAACUGCAGUUGAAACUGGCAGUCUUGAGUACAGUAGAGGUGGGCGGAAUUCGUGGUGUAGCGGUGAAAUGCUUAGAUAUCACGAAGAACUCCGAUUGCGAAGGCAGCUCACUGGACUGCAACUGACGCUGAGGCUCGAAAGUGUGGGUAUCAAACAGGAUUAGAUACCCGAGUAGUC
This 460-nucleotide ribosomal RNA is filed under the name uncultured bacterium. Its description in RNAcentral is "partial 16S ribosomal RNA". It matches the Rfam family "Bacterial small subunit ribosomal RNA", at positions 338 to 795 of the family's 1533-position model. The record is from RNAcentral.